AUGAACCACCCACAUAGGCCUCCCAAAGUGCUGGGAUUACAGCCUGCCAACUUUCAAACUAGAACUUCCACCAUCAUCCCUCCUGGUCCUCAGGCCUUCAGUCUCCAGCAGCAGCUAUACUAUCAGCUCUCCUGGGUCUCCAGCUUGCUGCCUGCAGAUCUUGGGGCUUCUCAGCCUCCAUCAUCACAUAAAUCAAUUUCUUCUAAUAAAACUUUUUCUGGCAUCUAUAAAUCUCCUGUUGGUUCUUUUUCUCUGGAGAAGCCUAAUACAGUGGGGACAUGGAUCAUCCCAGAGAGAACGUAGGAGUGAAGCAGGGAGCCCCAUCCUAGCAGCUGGAUCCUAGGGUCCUCCCAGAGUCUUUUCUGAAGAAGUUCCAAGUCCUACCUAAAAUCUCAAAUAAUGGCAACAGAGCCCGGUAAUGUGUUCUGGAUCCAUAGAGGAAGAGGUGUGGCUGGGUGACUUUCC
Molecule: long non-coding RNA, 465 nt
Filed under: Callithrix jacchus (white-tufted-ear marmoset)
Lineage: Eukaryota; Metazoa; Chordata; Mammalia; Primates; Cebidae
Description: lncRNA (ENSCJAG00000086400.1)
Source: RNAcentral